RNAcentral lists this long non-coding RNA (221 nucleotides) under Elaeis guineensis (African oil palm). Its description in RNAcentral is "long non-coding RNA (EGUI_LNC033268)". The record is from RNAcentral. Lineage: Eukaryota; Viridiplantae; Streptophyta; Magnoliopsida; Arecales; Arecaceae.
GUAGUGUACUUUGUCAGUAGUAAGAGAUAGCACCAUAGAUCGGCAUGCUUUAGGUGUGCGAUCUUGAUCAAUCGAUAUGAUAUUUGUCCUAAAGGGCAAACUCUAGAAGUGUCAGUUCCUCUUCUUGCUAGAGAAGAGGUAUCCAAAAAACUUCACUUAAAUGCUAGCUCGGAUGGAGAAGUAUGCUAAUGCUGAAGAAACCUACAACCUACAUGGGACCC